This is a non-coding RNA of Etheostoma spectabile (orangethroat darter), 3070 nucleotides long. Lineage: Eukaryota; Metazoa; Chordata; Actinopteri; Perciformes; Percidae. The record is from the annotation of a RefSeq genome assembly.
ACGGCUGACUCCAGGUAAGUGAUAGUUCAGGUAACAGCCACGGGUCAGAGUCCAGGAGGGAGUGCAUUAGAGAUUAGUGAGUACUGAGCCGCCAGGUGAAUGUUUGCCAGCCAAGCCCUACUUUACAUGGCUGGUGGCACAACCGCCACAUUAACCUUAGUGCAAUCUCUUUAGAAUCUCUUUGAACUGUAAUCACUUUAUUAUGACCAGGCAAUGUGACAUCUGAGUCCAAAUGGAACAUCUACAAAAUAUGAUUAAAUUCAUAGUAAUUGUUUUGCAUUGUAGAGGUUCCUCAGCUGAUACGACACGAAAGCUCAGUGUGUUGGUGGGUGAAGACGUGACUCUCAGCUGCCGGUUUGAUAAACUGUCCACGCUGGUGGAGUGGAGCGUUCUAACUAUUGAGUGGAACAAGGUGGAUAAACAUGCAGGGAAGAGCAUCGUGUACACUUUUGAGGAUGAGACAGCACAUGGGAGCAGAGACGGCUCUGUGGUGGAUAGAACGAAGUUGCUAGAAAGUGAUGCCUCUCUGCAGCUUCGUAAUGUGACUGUGAGAGAUGAAGGGCUGUACACCUGCAGGAUCAUCACACCUGUGGUCUACACAGAGACAGCUUCACUGGAAGUGCUGGCUCGGCCUUCGGUGUUGCUCCCAGAAAAGGCAGCAGUGACAGAAGGGGAGGAGAAGACCAUACAGUGUGACAUCACAGGUUUCUAUCCAGAGAAACUUACCGUGACAUGGUACAUCCAAAAUGGCUCCCACACUGUCCACGCAGGUGCCAGCCACCUCUUCCGUGUCUGCACCGAAAUGGCCAUUCACAAUCCAGAUGGCACCUACAGUAUUCGCAGUGGCCUCACACUGCACUCGUCAGCAGUGAAAGACGCAGAGGUACACAUAAUCUGCCAGGUGGAGCACCAGACCUACAGCCGGCCGUACAACAGAUCUGUUAAACUGACUGUUCAGGCUCCAUCACAGCCGGUUUACAGUGCUGUCACACUGAUAGCUGUCACCAGUGUCACCAGUCUGCUGCUGGUCACCGCUGUCAUUGGAGGCGUUUUGAUUUUCUACAGGUAUUUCUGUAAAGCUCCACCAAGUGUUUCUGAAAUCAGCCAACCCAGCAUCACAUAUGCUCAGGUGCAGACCGAACUCAAAUGCACCAUCCGAGGAGCAAGACAGCAGGAGCUUAAAGUGAAAUGGUCUAAACUAAGAAGCAGCGCAAACUUAGUGGUCCAGUCAGAAUCUGAUCCUCUAUUGGUCAGGGAGGAUGUGAGUGAUCAGGCUUGUCUCCAGUCAGACGGCACACACCACACAUCUGUCCUGCCUGUGUGUCUGACUGUCAAUGAAGACCUGACCAAAUACCAGUGUGUGGUGCUGUGCAGGGGCAAGAUCAUCAACAGAAACACCACAGUUCAGGUGAAAGUGGAGCCGUCUUUCCUCCAGAUCUCCAGCAUCCCUCAGAUCCCCAAGGUGGAAAGGCUGCUGGUUCUCUGCUGUAGGGUGGAGAACUUCUACCCCCAGGACAUCGACCUGGAGUGGUCCAGGAACGACGGGGAGCAGGUGUGCACCGUGACACACUUUGGACCUUUUUCCGACCACAACCGCCUCUUCAGCGUGUGGAGUAAGAUUGAGCUGGUCAUGGCCAGAGAGGACGAGAGUGCCGUCUACACCUGCCGAGUUUACCACUCCAGCUUCCCCGCUCCGGGUUACAAAGAUAUCCUGUACCAUAUCAACACUCAAGGAACUCCUCCUAAUGUGAUGUUCAUAGACUGUGAACCACUGUAUCCUCUGUUGAACGAAGAAUGUACACUGCACCUGUGCGUCAAAGACUUCUGUCCUGAGGACGUGUCAGUGACUUGGACUAAAGAUGGAGAGACGGUUUCCUGCUUCAACACUCCCCCGAGCCUAAACAUCAAUGGGCUCUACUCCAUGUUCAGUUUUCUCAAACUCACCCCCAACAAGGAUGACCAGGGCUCCAAGUUCAGGUGCCAGGUGGUCCACAGCGCCCAGAAGGAGCCUGAGGAGAGGCUCUUCACCCUGCCUGCAAGCCACAACCUGCAUCUGAUAUUCGACGGCUGCUGAUGUCCUCACUAAACUCUUGUAUUUCAGUCUACAUUUGAUUUGUGAAUGUUGGGAUGUAGAUUAGCACAGAUGAAACAGAGUUUGGGACUUGAAAAGAUAAAUCUCAUCCAGUCAUCACUGUCUGCCUCUGAUAUGAUGGGCAUUGUCAAGGAAAAAUUCUAAUAGGAGCAGCACAGAAGGUUCAAGAGACUUAUGACUUACACAGAAGCAUUUUAUCAACACAACAAUUAGGUAGUACAGUUUAACCAUGAUGUGUGACUGUACAGUACUGUCCCGAAGUUCCUGUAUUCUAGUAGGUGUAUUUAACUCAUGCUGGAGGCGUCACAUUUAGCUGAACCUUUAAGGUAAACAGAUACUACAGCCUAGUUCAGCCUCUCUCUCUCGCUCUCUCUCUCUCUCUCUCUCUCUGGGAAGUAUCAGAUACUACAGCCUAGUUCAGCCUCUCUCUCUCUCUCUCUCUCUCUCUCUCUCUCUGGGAAGUAUCAGUUCCUAGUUUAGCCUCUCUCUCGCUUUCUCUCUCAGGAAACCCUUUUGGAGGCCCAACGCCCUGAGAAAAAAUGCCCUUAUCAUGCAGCACCAUUUAACAAUUCAACAAAUCAUUGUAUGUUACAUAUUAUGCAUGUAGGUGUAUGUACGUAUGUUAUAGCUUCAUUAAUACAGCACAGUACAAGUCCUGCAUUCAGAUGUUUACUUCAAGUGAAAAGAGAGGCAUAUACACUUACAUUUACUUCACAUCUGUUAUUAUAAUGUAUGUAUAAAGCUGGAUAGUUUAAUGAACAAUAAUGCGUAAUAUUUUAAUUCUGAUAUUUUGUGAUUAAAAUCCGAAUCUGCAACCAGUUAAUUGGUUAAGUAACCAGUAACAUGUCUCUGUCAGGUAAAUGAAUUAGUACAAUCUAAUACAUAGUAAGUCAGUAGUAUCCAGUUGGGUUGCAUAUUUUUUCAGAGCUUUGGGUGCUUUCUGUAAGUCAUUUAUCAUGGUACAAUGAGUUAGAAAAG